AUAGUAUUACAGUGAUAUAAAAGAUUGGUGGGUUUUUUUUUCCCUCUCACUGAUCAUCAGUGUGUAUAGUACACAGUAGAUGCAAAGUAUUAGUUGUUUAAUCCGUAUGACACUGUUAAUGGGGUCAAAACUGUAAAAACACACAUGCUUUUAAUCCUUUUAUCAACUAUGGUGAUCUAUGAUAGCCGUCCGAUCAGUGAAGAGCUGAUCGAACGCUUAAUUGACUCAAGGUCCCUUUCCUUCUAAUCUCUGAGACUCGAGCUGAACCACAAAACCAGAUCUAGUUUUUCUUCCCCUCUGUCUCUCUCUUUCUCCCCUUUAGAGUUCAAACCUGAACAAGAUCUAGUUUUUUCUUCCCUCACUUUAGUUCGAUUUCUGAUCUCUCUCCUCUCUAGUAUUUUCUCUUCUGGGUGACUGCUUGCGUGUCUGAACUCGGCGAGACACGCGAAUGGUUGCGGACUAUCUUCUCUCAACCCAGGAUGUUAUAAACAGAGAGAGAUAGGUUGUCCCUCACAUCACAGAUGCUAUCCAAGACUGGAUUAAGUGUGUAGCACAUAUACCAGUUGAUGGAAAGUCAGGCCCUGCUGAGCACCAGUAUUGGUCAUUUGGUCUUGGCCUUAAUCUUUGGGGCAGCCUUGAUUGCUUAAAAGCAGUUUGCUUCAAGAGGGUCUGCUACUGUGCCUAUCUAUCACAUUCAAAGGGCAAAACACUUCCUUUUAUUACUGUUGAAGAAGGUUGAUUUUCAAAUUUGAGCCUUCAAUGUUUGUAUGACUGAGCAUAGCAAAGUUGCUAGUGGUAAAGUUGCAGCCAUGGAGAGGAACAUGAAGAAAUUUAUGUUUUCUGAUGUAUUUUAAUUGAAAUUGCAUACGAUCUGUACAGUAAAUUUUACAAUUUUAUGGUUAUAGGUGUGCCAAAUUGUUAUU
Molecule: long non-coding RNA, 923 nt
Organism: Rosa chinensis
Lineage: Eukaryota; Viridiplantae; Streptophyta; Magnoliopsida; Rosales; Rosaceae
Exons: 6
Source: RefSeq, a predicted model, not a curated record